UAGCAAGUUUUAUAGCAUCUGAGUCGC
RNAcentral lists this non-coding RNA (27 nucleotides) under Homo sapiens (human). The record is from RNAcentral. Lineage: Eukaryota; Metazoa; Chordata; Mammalia; Primates; Hominidae.